This 639-nucleotide ribosomal RNA is filed under the name uncultured bacterium. RNAcentral's name for it is "bacterial SSU rRNA". It matches the Rfam family "Bacterial small subunit ribosomal RNA", at positions 232 to 885 of the family's 1533-position model. The record is from RNAcentral.
CGCGGCCUAUCAGCUUGUUGGAGAGGUAACGGCUCACCAAGGCAUCGACGGGUAGCUGGUCUGAGAGGAUGAUCAGCCACACUGGAACUGAGACACGGUCCAGACUCCUACGGGAGGCAGCAGUGGGGAAUCUUGCACAAUGGGCGCAAGCCUGAUGCAGCAACGCCGCGUGCGGGAAGACGGCCCUAGGGUUGUAAACCGCUUUCAGGAGGGAAGAAAAUGACGGUACCUCCAGAAGAAGGUGCGGCCAACUACGUGCCAGCAGCCGCGGUGACACGUAGGCACCAAGCGUUAUCCGGAUUUAUUGGGCGUAAAGAGCUCGUAGGCGGUUCGGUAAGUCGGGUGUGAAAAUCCAAGGCUCAACCUUGGGACGCCACCCGAUACUGCUGUGACUCGAGUGCAGUAGGGGAGCAGGGAAUUCCUGGUGUAGCGGUGAAAUGCGCAGAUAUCAGGAGGAACACCAGUGGCGAAGGCGCUGCUCUGGGCUGUAACUGACGCUGAGGAGCGAAAGCAUGGGUAGCAAACAGGAUUAGAUACCCUGGUAGUCCAUGCCGUAAACGUUGGGCACUAGGUGUGGGUCUCAACCAACGAGAUCCGCGCCGUCGCUAACGCAUUAAGUGCCCCGCCUGGGGAGUACGG